This is a non-coding RNA of Callithrix jacchus (white-tufted-ear marmoset), 899 nucleotides long. Lineage: Eukaryota; Metazoa; Chordata; Mammalia; Primates; Cebidae. The record is from RefSeq and is a predicted model, not a curated record.
GCCAGGGUGGAGUGCAGUGACACAAUCUCAGCUCACUGCAACCUCCACCUCCUGGGUUCAAGCAAUUCUCCUGCCUCAGCCUCCCGAGUAGCAGACAGUAGGUGUAUCUGUCUCUUGUGACUAAUACAAAUAGUUACAGAACAUAUGAUCAAUUUAAAAAUAUCCAAGAUGGGCAUUUUGGAGGUUAGAAAAAUUUCCUAGGUUACAAGCUGAAUACAACCAACAAAGAAGACUGGUUUUGUCAGAUUCCAAGAGAAUGUGUACUUCCUUCAAACCCACCAUGAGAGUAGAAACAGACUGACUUGUCACAUCAGAUUUACCUGUUAUAAUAUAAAUUCCUAAGUGGAUAUACUCAGAAUGUGAAGACCUGGAAUACAGUCUGAGAAGACAGUAAUGGGCUACAUGAUACCCUCCUUUAAAAAAAAAUGUUUUCCUCAGGAUGCUUUUAGCCUUAACACAGUAUGAUUUUAUGAGAAGUACUGCAUCUACAAAAUUAUCUUUGCAUACCACCUAGUAUAAAGUGGGCACUUAACUGUUAAGUGUCUAUUCAUCUUUCAAUAUUCAGUUCAAGUGGUUCCUCUUUUUAGUUUUUGUUGGUUAUCCCAAACAGAGACAACCUCACUUCUCUGAAUAUCUAUAGAAGUCAUUGUUCAUACUAAACAUGUGAAGCAUAUAUACCGUAUUGUAUAAUGGUUAUUUAAAUUCAUGUGUUAUGACUGCCACCUGACUAUAAGAUCUUAGAGAAGGCAUAUUUAUCUCUGUAGUCCCUAAUAGUGCCUUGUUCUGAUAUAUGUUUAAAUAUUUUUAUUGAACUAGCUGAAUUCUUUUUCUAAACAUCUGAACAAGAGACCCCUUACACAUCAAAUAUGAAAAUAGUUAUUUGCAUUUGUAAUUUUGUU